CCUACGGGAGGCAGCAGUGAGGAAUAUUGGUCAAUGGACGAGAGUCUGAACCAGCCAAGUAGCGUGAAGGAUGACUGCCCUAUGGGUUGUAAACUUCUUUUAUAUGGGAAUAAAACAGGGUACGUGUACCUUCUUGUAUGUACCAUAUGAAUAAGGAUCGGCUAACUCCGUGCCAGCAGCCGCGGUAAUACGGAGGAUCCGAGCGUUAUCCGGAUUUAUUGGGUUUAAAGGGAGCGUAGGUGGGUUGUUAAGUCAGUUGUGAAAGUUUGCGGCUCAACCGUAAAAUUGCAGUUGAUACUGGCAGUCUUGAGUACAGUUGAGGUAGGCGGAAUUCGUGGUGUAGCGGUGAAAUGCUUAGAUAUCACGAAGAACCCCGAUUGCGAAGGCAGCUUACUGAACUGUAACUGACAUUGAUGCUCGAAAGUGUGGGUAUCAAACAGGAUUAGAUACCCUUGUAGUC
This 460-nucleotide ribosomal RNA is filed under the name uncultured bacterium. RNAcentral's name for it is "partial 16S ribosomal RNA". It matches the Rfam family "Bacterial small subunit ribosomal RNA", at positions 338 to 795 of the family's 1533-position model. The record is from RNAcentral.